GACGAACGCUGGCGGCGUGCUUAACACAUGCAAGUCGAACGGAAAGGCCCUGCUCUUGUUGGGUGCUCGAGUGGCGAACGGGUGUGUAAAACGUGAGUAACCCGCCCCUGACUUUGGGAUAACUUCAGGAAACUGGGGCUAAUAUAGCAUAGGAGCUCCUGCUGCAUGGUGGGGGUUGGAAAGUUUCGGCGGUUGGGGAUGGACUCGCGGGUUAUCAGCUUGUUGGUGGGGUAGUGGCUUACCAAGCCUUUGACGGGUAGCCGGCCUGAGAGGGUGACCGGCCACAUUGGGACUGAGAUACGGCCCAGACGCCUACGGGAGGCAGCAGUGGGGAAUAUUGCGCAAUGGGCGGAAGCCUGAUGCAGCGACGCCGCGUGCGGGAAGACGGCCUACGGGUUAUAAACCGCUUUCGCAUGUAACAAAGCGUGAGUGACGGUAAUGAGUAAAGAAGCACCGGCUAACUACGUG
RNAcentral lists this ribosomal RNA (468 nucleotides) under uncultured bacterium. Its description in RNAcentral is "partial 16S ribosomal RNA". It matches the Rfam family "Bacterial small subunit ribosomal RNA", at positions 28 to 507 of the family's 1533-position model. The record is from RNAcentral.